GAAGGAACGUUGAAGACGACGACGUUGAUAGGUCGGGUGUGUAAGCGCAGCGAUGCGUUGAGCUAACCGAUACUAAUGAACCGUGAGGCUUAACCUUACAACGCCGAAGGUGUUU
This 115-nucleotide ribosomal RNA is filed under the name Enterobacter cloacae. Its description in RNAcentral is "partial 23S ribosomal RNA". The stretch from base 1 to 97 matches the Rfam family "Bacterial large subunit ribosomal RNA", at positions 2828 to 2925 of the family's 2925-position model. Lineage: Bacteria; Pseudomonadati; Pseudomonadota; Gammaproteobacteria; Enterobacterales; Enterobacteriaceae. RNAcentral also lists the same sequence under 2 other names. The record is from RNAcentral.